RNAcentral lists this unclassified non-coding RNA (19 nucleotides) under Escherichia phage MS2. RNAcentral's name for it is "5'-R(*AP*CP*AP*UP*GP*AP*GP*GP*AP*UP *GP*AP*CP*CP*CP*AP*UP*GP*U)-3' from Escherichia phage MS2 (PDB 2C51, chain S)". Lineage: Riboviria; Orthornavirae; Lenarviricota; Leviviricetes; Norzivirales; Fiersviridae. The record is from RNAcentral.
ACAUGAGGAUGACCCAUGU